CAUGCUUUUUUAUUGUAUUUUUUUUAUUAUAUCUAUAUUAAUAAAAAUAUAAUAAAUAAAAAAUACAAUAAAUUAAUAUU
This 80-nucleotide microRNA precursor is filed under the name Cajanus cajan (pigeon pea). RNAcentral's name for it is "miRNA gene-KK1_050473". Lineage: Eukaryota; Viridiplantae; Streptophyta; Magnoliopsida; Fabales; Fabaceae. The record is from RNAcentral.